This 479-nucleotide ribosomal RNA is filed under the name uncultured bacterium. Its description in RNAcentral is "partial 16S ribosomal RNA". It matches the Rfam family "Bacterial small subunit ribosomal RNA", at positions 28 to 507 of the family's 1533-position model. The record is from RNAcentral.
GAUGAACGCUAGCGGGAGGCCUAACACAUGCAAGCCGAGCGGUAUUGUUUCUUCGGAAAUGAGAGAGCGGCGUACGGGUGCGUAACACGUGUGCAACCUGCCUUUAUCUGGGGGAUAGCCUUUCGAAAGGAAGAUUAAUACUCCAUAAUAUAUUGAACGGCAUCGUUUAAUAUUGAAAGCUCCGCCGGAUAGAGAUGGGCACGCGCAAGAUUAGCUAGUUGGUGAGGUAACGGCUCACCAAGGCGAUGAUCUUUAGGGGGCCUGAGAGGGUGAUCCCCCACACUGGUACUGAGACACGGACCAGACUCCUACGGGAGGCAGCAGUGAGGAAUAUUAGUCAAUGGGUGCAAGCCUGAACCAGCCAUCCCGCGUGAAGGACGACUGCCCUAUGGGUUGUAAACUUCUUUUGUAUAGGGAUAAACCUACCCUCGUGAGGGUAGCUGAAGGUACUAUACGAAUAAGCACCGGCUAACUCCGUG